Molecule: non-coding RNA, 449 nt
Organism: Paramuricea clavata
Lineage: Eukaryota; Metazoa; Cnidaria; Anthozoa; Malacalcyonacea; Plexauridae
Source: the annotation of a GenBank genome assembly
AAACAACGAAUCGUACACGAUUAAUCCACAGAAUAGAAAAUAUACUUUACUCCUUUCCCCGGGUGUAAAUAACCGGGCUGAAUUAGUACCCUCGCCCCGGGCUAACGUGCGCCCGGAACGGCGCUGGCUCGGGGACAAACUAAUACCAUGAUAUAUGUCGGGAAAUUACUAAUAAUCAAUAAAACUCUUUCUCGAGAGGUAUGUGGAAUUCCCUCGGACUUCGCCCACGUAAAUUUCGCAAACUUUCCGUGGCAUUCCAGGACAUUUACAGUAAUUACUACUAACUUCCUGAAAAGGGCGAAAAAGGGAUUUAAAAUACGAAAUCGUACUACUACCGAUUUUAGAGCAAAAUAUUCUGUUAUGCUUGGUCAGCUUGGAUGCAUGCAUAAUUUAUUGUAAUUUAAUAAGAACAAUUAACAUGGAAAUACAAAAUUUUAAAUAUAUUGUCC